This 619-nucleotide ribosomal RNA is filed under the name uncultured bacterium. Its description in RNAcentral is "bacterial SSU rRNA". It matches the Rfam family "Bacterial small subunit ribosomal RNA", at positions 23 to 620 of the family's 1533-position model. The record is from RNAcentral.
CUCCAAACGAACGCUGGCGGCGUGGAUAAGACAUGCAAGUCGAACGGGAUUACUGGUGUAGCAAUACAUCAGUGGUCUAGUGGCGUAAGGGUGCGUAACACGUGGGGAAUCUGCCGAGAAGUGGGGGAUAGCUCGCCGAAAGGCGAAUUAAUACCGCAUGUGGUUAGUGAAGACAUCUUCACGAUACCAAAGCCGGGGCAACCUGGCGCUUCUUGAUGACCCCGCGGCCUAUCAGCUAGUUGGUGAGGUAACGGCUCACCAAGGCUAUGACGGGUAGCUGGUCUGAGAGGACGACCAGCCACAUUGGAACUGAGACACGGUCCAGACACCUACGGGUGGCAGCAGUCGAGAAUUUUUCUCAAUGGGGGAAACCCUGAAGGAGCGACGCCGCGUGGAGGAUGAAGGUCUUCGGAUUGUAAACUCCUGUCAUUUGGGAACAAGUUGCAUUGGUUAACUGCCGAUGCAUUGAUAGUACCAGAAGAGGAACGAGACGGCUAACUCUGUGCCAGCAGCCGCGGUAAUACAGAGGUCUCAAGCGUUGUUCGGAUUCAUUGGGCGUAAAGGGUGCGUAGGUGGCCGGGUAAGUCUUGGUGUGAAAUCUCGGGGCUCAACCCCGAAA